This 2934-nucleotide ribosomal RNA is filed under the name Dickeya oryzae. RNAcentral's name for it is "23S ribosomal RNA". It matches the Rfam family "Bacterial large subunit ribosomal RNA". The record is from RNAcentral. Lineage: Bacteria; Pseudomonadati; Pseudomonadota; Gammaproteobacteria; Enterobacterales; Pectobacteriaceae.
GGGUUGUGAGGUUAAGCGACUAAGCGUACACGGUGGAUGCCUAGGCAGUCAGAGGCGAUGAAGGGCGUGCUAAUCUGCGAAAAGCGUCGGCAAGGUGAUAUGAACCGUUAUACCCGACGAUACCCGAAUGGGGAAACCCAGUGUGAUUCGUCACACUAUCAUUAACUGAAUCCAUAGGUUAAUGAGGCGAACCGGGGGAACUGAAACAUCUCAGUACCCCGAGGAAAAGAAAUCAACCGAGAUUCCCCCAGUAGCGGCGAGCGAACGGGGAGGAGCCCAGAACCUGAAUCGGCUUGUGUGUCAGUGGAAGCGUCUGGAAAGGCGCACGAUACAGGGUGACAGUCCCGUACACGAAGAUGCACAGGUCGUGAGUUCGACGAGUAGGGCGGGACACGUGGUAUCCUGUCUGAACAUGGGGGGACCAUCCUCCAAGGCUAAAUACUCCUGACUGACCGAUAGUGAACCAGUACCGUGAGGGAAAGGCGAAAAGAACCCCGGCGAGGGGAGUGAAAUAGAACCUGAAACCGUGUACGUACAAGCAGUGGGAGCACCUUUUAGGUGUGACUGCGUACCUUUUGUAUAAUGGGUCAGCGACUUAUAUUCUGUAGCAAGGUUAACCGAAUAGGGGAGCCGCAGGGAAACCGAGUCUUAACUGGGCGUCUAGUUGCAGGGUAUAGACCCGAAACCCGGUGAUCUAGCCAUGGGCAGGUUGAAGGUUGGGUAACACUAACUGGAGGACCGAACCGACUAAUGUUGAAAAAUUAGCGGAUGACUUGUGGCUGGGGGUGAAAGGCCAAUCAAACCGGGAGAUAGCUGGUUCUCCCCGAAAGCUAUUUAGGUAGCGCCUCGUGAACUCAUCUUCGGGGGUAGAGCACUGUUUCGGCUAGGGGGCCAUCCCGGCUUACCAACCCGAUGCAAACUGCGAAUACCGAAGAAUGUUAUCACGGGAGACACACGGCGGGUGCUAACGUCCGUCGUGAAGAGGGAAACAACCCAGACCGCCAGCUAAGGUCCCAAAGUCAUGGUUAAGUGGGAAACGAUGUGGGAAGGCCCAGACAGCCAGGAUGUUGGCUUAGAAGCAGCCAUCAUUUAAAGAAAGCGUAAUAGCUCACUGGUCGAGUCGGCCUGCGCGGAAGAUGUAACGGGGCUAAAACCAUGCACCGAAGCUGCGGCAGCGACGCUUAGGCGUUGUUGGGUAGGGGAGCGUUCUGUAAGCCUGUGAAGGUGGCCUGUGAGGGCUGCUGGAGGUAUCAGAAGUGCGAAUGCUGACAUAAGUAACGAUAAUGCGGGUGAAAAACCCGCACGCCGGAAGACCAAGGGUUCCUGUCCAACGUUAAUCGGGGCAGGGUGAGUCGACCCCUAAGGCGAGGCUGAAAAGCGUAGUCGAUGGGAAACAGGUUAAUAUUCCUGUACUUGGUGUUACUGCGAAGGGGGGACGGAGAAGGCUAUGUCAUCCGGGCGACGGUUGUCCCGGUUUAAGCGUGCAGGUGGGUGGACCAGGCAAAUCCGGUCUGCUGUCAACACUGAGGCGUGAUGACGAGGCACUACGGUGCUGAAGUGACAGAUGCCCUGCUUCCAGGAAAAGCCUCUAAGCAUCAGGUAACAUUGAAUCGUACCCCAAACCGACACAGGUGGUCAGGUAGAGAAUACUCAGGCGCUUGAGAGAACUCGGGUGAAGGAACUAGGCAAAAUGGUGCCGUAACUUCGGGAGAAGGCACGCUCCUGGUGGUGAAGUCCCUUGCGGAUGGAGCUGACGGGAGUCGCAGAUACCAGCUGGCUGCAACUGUUUAAUAAAAACACAGCACUGUGCAAACACGAAAGUGGACGUAUACGGUGUGACGCCUGCCCGGUGCCGGAAGGUUAAUUGAUGGGGUUAUCCGUAAGGAGAAGCUCUUGAUCGAAGCCCCGGUAAACGGCGGCCGUAACUAUAACGGUCCUAAGGUAGCGAAAUUCCUUGUCGGGUAAGUUCCGACCUGCACGAAUGGCGUAAUGAUGGCCAGGCUGUCUCCACCCGAGACUCAGUGAAAUUGAACUCGCUGUGAAGAUGCAGUGUACCCGCGGCAAGACGGAAAGACCCCGUGAACCUUUACUAUAGCUUGACACUGAACCUUGAGCCUUGAUGUGUAGGAUAGGUGGGAGGCUUUGAAGUGUGGACGCCAGUCUGCAUGGAGCCGACCUUGAAAUACCACCCUUUAAUGUUUGAUGUUCUAACCUGGGCCCGUAAUCCGGGCUGGGGACAGUGUCUGGUGGGUAGUUUGACUGGGGCGGUCUCCUCCCAAAGAGUAACGGAGGAGCACGAAGGUUAGCUAAUCCUGGUCGGACAUCAGGAGGUUAGUGCAAAGGCAUAAGCUAGCUUGACUGCGAGAGUGACGGCUCGAGCAGGUGCGAAAGCAGGUCUUAGUGAUCCGGUGGUUCUGAAUGGAAGGGCCAUCGCUCAACGGAUAAAAGGUACUCCGGGGAUAACAGGCUGAUACCGCCCAAGAGUUCAUAUCGACGGCGGUGUUUGGCACCUCGAUGUCGGCUCAUCACAUCCUGGGGCUGAAGUAGGUCCCAAGGGUAUGGCUGUUCGCCAUUUAAAGUGGUACGCGAGCUGGGUUUAGAACGUCGUGAGACAGUUCGGUCCCUAUCUGCCGUGGGCGUUGGAAGAUUGAGGGGGGUUGCUCCUAGUACGAGAGGACCGGAGUGAACGCACCGCUGGUGUUCGGGUUGUCAUGCCAAUGGCACUGCCCGGUAGCUACGUGCGGAAGAGAUAACCGCUGAAAGCAUCUAAGCGGGAAACUUGCCCCGAGAUGAGUCUUCCCUGGGAACUUGAUUCCCCUGAAGGGACGUUCGAGACGAGGACGUUGAUAGGCUGGGUGUGUAAGCGUAGUGAUACGUUGAGCUAACCAGUACUAAUGACCCGAGAGGCUUAACCUUACAACACCGAAGGUGUUU